UAACACGUAAACAACCUGCCUUCAGGAUGGGGACAACAGACGGAAACGACUGCUAAUACCGAAUAAGUUCCAAGGGCCGCAUGGCCCAUGGAAGAAAAGGUGGCCUCUACCUGUAAGCUAUCGCCUGAAGAGGGGUUUGCGUCUGAUUAGCUGGUUGGAGGGGUAACGGCCCACCAAGGCGACGAUCAGUAGCCGGUCUGAGAGGAUGAACGGCCACACUGGAACUGAGACACGGUCCAGACUCCUACGGGAGGCAGCAGUGGGGAAUCUUCCGCAAUGGGCGAAAGCCUGACGGAGCAACGCCGCGUGAGUGAUGACGGCCUUCGGGUUGUAAAACUCUGUGAUCCGGGACGAAAAGGCAGAGUGCGAAGAACAAACUGCAUUGACGGUACCGGAAAAGCAAGCCACGGCUAACUACGUGCCAGCAGCCGCGGUAAUACGUAGGUGGCAAGCGUUGUCCGGAAUUAUUGGGCGUAAAGCGCGCGCAGGCGGCUUCCCAAGUCCCUCUUAAAAGUGCGGGGCUCAACCCCGUGAUGGGAAGGAAACUGGGAAGCUGGAGUAUCGGAGAGGAAAGUGGAAUUCCUAGUGUAGCGGUGAAAUGCGUAGAGAUUAGGAAGAACACCGGUGGCGAAGGCGACUUUCUGGACGAAAACUGACGCUGAGGCGCGAAAGCGUGGGGAGCAAACAGGAUUAGAUACCCUGGGUAGUCCACGCCGUA
RNAcentral lists this ribosomal RNA (718 nucleotides) under uncultured bacterium. RNAcentral describes it as "bacterial SSU rRNA". It matches the Rfam family "Bacterial small subunit ribosomal RNA", at positions 111 to 804 of the family's 1533-position model. The record is from RNAcentral.